This 404-nucleotide ribosomal RNA is filed under the name uncultured prokaryote. Its description in RNAcentral is "bacterial SSU rRNA". It matches the Rfam family "Bacterial small subunit ribosomal RNA", at positions 355 to 776 of the family's 1533-position model. The record is from RNAcentral.
UGGGGAAUCUUAGACAAUGGGGGAAAGCCUGAUCUAGCCAUGCCGCGUGAGUGACGAAGGCCUUAGGGUCGUAAAGCUCUUUCGCCAGGGAAGAUAAUGACGGUACCUGGUAAAGAAACCCCGGCUAACUCCGUGCCAGCAGCCGCGGUAAUACGGAGGGGGUUAGCGUUGUUCGGAAUUACUGGGCGUAAAGCGCGCGUAGGCGGACUGUUAAGUCAGAGGUGAAAUCCCGGGGCUCAACCCCGGAACUGCCUUUGAUACUGGCAGUCUUGAGUUCGAGAGAGGUGAGUGGAAUUCCGAGUGUAGAGGUGAAAUUCGUAGAUAUUCGGAGGAACACCAGUGGCGAAGGCGGCUCACUGGCUCGAUACGGACGCUGAGGUGCGAAAGCGUGGGGAGCAAACAGG